Molecule: long non-coding RNA, 484 nt
Organism: Carassius auratus (goldfish)
Lineage: Eukaryota; Metazoa; Chordata; Actinopteri; Cypriniformes; Cyprinidae
Exons: 3
Source: RefSeq, a predicted model, not a curated record
AAAAGGAAGGCAGCUGUACAAUCACGCAAACAGAGAGAACAAAAAAUACCUUUAUUUACGGUUGUACGUGAAAUUCACUUUCUUGCUCUCGCACGUUUUCUAACCUUCUUUCGUCUUUUUUUCUUUGAUCUUUUCACCUUCUGAGGAAUUCUGGAUUUCUGUUGAAAGCCUGAGAAUGGAUGCCCGAGAGGAUGAGGAUACAUCUUUGAGGUAUAACACAACCGAGGUGUGAAAGUCAAGGGCACAGAAAUUCAUAGAUGUAACACACCUAAAAUAGAACAGGAUUAAGCAGUGUCUUUACAUGGGUGCCAGGCUCUUAGCAAACAAACCAUUCACAAAUGGAAAAUGCAAUCGAGCAAAUACUGUUAGCAGACAAAAGGAACAGGGUGCACGUCUGCAGACACGGAAAAGCCAUUUCAGUUUGCUUGUCAGAGCACAUAAGGUUUCACAAAAGCAUAGUUUAAGUCCAAAAGCAGCAGAUGUG